RNA transcript from Capsella rubella, 1678 nucleotides. It is a transcript of the gene named GTPase ERA-like, chloroplastic, with no coding region annotated. Lineage: Eukaryota; Viridiplantae; Streptophyta; Magnoliopsida; Brassicales; Brassicaceae. The transcript has 10 exons. The record is from RefSeq and is a predicted model, not a curated record.
UAAACGGCGUCGUAUGAAGAUCACAUAUGGUUUCCUUGGCUAAUCACAAAACAAGCAGUGAGGAAAAAAACCAGUGAGAGAGAGAGAGAGAGCUAUCAAUUUGAAAAACAAAGUCCGACAAUGGCGGCCUCUCCGCAAAUUUCGCCUACUGUUUCCCGCUACAAAUUCUUCUCCACUUCCGUUGUUGAAAACCCUAAUUUCUCCCCUUACCAUAUCUAUAGUCGACGCAGAGUUACCAAAUCGCAUCUUCAGGCGCACAACAGUAGCACUAGAUAUGGGCGGACGGAACUCACCUCCUCGAAGAAGCUAUGGAUCAAGCAACGAAGCUCCAGCGGAAUGGAGGUUGAGCAAGCAGAAUUAGAAGAAGAUGAAGAACAAGUGGAGAUCGAUAUAGUCGACGAUGCCAGUCUCCUCUCGCUGAGCAUGAAACCGGACAGGAACAUGGCGUUGCUCGACGAUUAUGAGAUGGAGGAGCUUGGACACUCACCUGAUACGCAUCAUCGCAGUGGAUACGUGGCUGUGCUGGGGAUGCCCAACGUUGGGAAAAGCACGCUUUCGAACCAAAUGAUUGGUCAGAAAAUUUCGAUUGUCACAGAUAAACCUCAAACCACGAGGCAUCGGAUUCUUGGUAUAUGUUCUAGCCCUGAGUAUCAGAUGAUACUUUAUGACACGCCUGGUGUAAUCGAGAAGAAGAUGCACAGGUUAGAUACAAUGAUGAUGAAGAAUGUCAGAGAUGCUGCCAUCAAUGCGGAUUGUGUAGUAAUUCUUGUUGAUGCUUGUAAAACGCCUGCUAAAAUAGAAGAAGUUUUGAAAGAGGGUUUGGGAGACCUCGAAAAGAAGCCACCGAUGCUGCUUGUUAUGAACAAGAAGGAUCUGAUCAAACCUGGUGAGAUAGCCAAGAAACUUGAGUGGUAUGAAAAAUUUACAGAAGUUGAUGAAGUUAUACCUGUAAGCGCAAAGUACGGACAUGGAAUAGAGGAUGUAAAAGAGUGGAUAUUAUCCAAACUUCCCUUCGGGCCACCUUAUUAUCCAAAGGAUAUUGUGAGCGAGCACCCAGAGAGAUUCUUUGUUUCUGAGAUUGUUAGAGAGAAGAUAUUUAUGCAGUACCGAAAUGAAGUUCCUUAUGCAUGUCAGGUGAAUGUGCUGAGCUACAAAACUAGACCAGCUGCAAAAGACUUUAUUCAAGUGGAAGUGGUAGUGGAUAAAAAUUCUCAAAAGAUCAUCCUUAUAGGAAAAGAAGGGAAGGCUUUGAAAACGCUAGCAACGGCUGCUAGGCUCGACAUUGAAGAUUUCCUUCAGAAGAAAGUCUUCCUCGAGGUGGAAGUGAAAGUGAAAGAGAACUGGAGACAAGACGAGGGACUUCUCAAGUACUACGGCUAUGGAGGACAGAUCCGAGCUAUGUAGUAGGAUGGACAUAGUGACAGUGUAGUGGUUAAUGGGCUUCAAAUGGGCCUAGAAGAAGAUGAGAAGUGCAAAUGACAGGGCGGCUCUUAGGUAGGUAGUAGACUGAUAGUUAAACAAUUACAUAUAGAUGUGCUUUUCAUGAAAAGAUGAACCGUAAUUAAUGGCGAGUGAAUUGGUGUGUUUGGUAAGGAUCUGAGUCUGAGUCGGUGUAACUUGUUAGAGAUCCGCUUAUUGCGCCUAUGCUUCUUCUGUUGAAAAAAGGUGUCUGUCUUAA